Molecule: long non-coding RNA, 663 nt
Filed under: Homo sapiens (human)
Lineage: Eukaryota; Metazoa; Chordata; Mammalia; Primates; Hominidae
Description: HSALNT0322971
Source: RNAcentral
AAAUUUCAAAAAGGCCAGAGUGGGGUCCAUAGAAGAGCAGAAGCAAUGAGUUGGAAGGACUUCUGUGCACCUCUAUUAGUCCCACUGCAUGGAAUCCUUAGGGUGUCAUAAUGAGGGACUCCAAUGAAAGAAUGAAAGAAUCUCUGAAGUGUUGAUUGGCUGUUUCUGGAACUUGGCCCAAGUUCCUACUACAGAUGUACCAUGUCCACUUUUCUCAGAAUUCAAGUUUCCUGGUUGGUUUUUUUCUCAUCCAAGAAUCUAAGAAGAGUCCAUAAAGAAGGCUGACAACAAAUGAAUGGAGAAAACACAAGCCCCAAAGCCUGCAGCACAGCCAGGGACCCUCUGUGAGCUGAGUCUGUGAGUUAGGGACCAGCUCUCUUCUCCAUGAAGCCUGCCCUGAUUCUCCCCAGAGGGAAGGCUGGCCCCCUUUUCCAAACUCCCACUACAUUUUGUCCAAACGAUGUUGGAAGCCACUGGGACUCCCCAAGAACAAUAUCCAAGUUGAAGACACCUUUUGCCACCCCCGCCAGUGGACAUGGAAGGAGUGCCGCACACACCCGCCCUGAAUGCAGAAGCAGCAGGAAUUGAGGCAACGUUCUUGUAGGGGACAUAUCCUGAGACUUAUCCGGGGCUUAGAUUUGGUUGGAAGUGGGUGACCUGAAG